GAUGAAGAACGUAGCGAAAUGCGAUAAGUAAUGUGAAUUGCAGAAUUCAGUGAAUUAUCGAAUCUUUGAACGCACAUUGCGCCCGCCAGUAUUCUGGCGGGCAUGCCUGUCCGAGCGUCAUUUCAACCCUCGAACCCCUCCGGGGGUCCGGCGUUGGGGAUCGGGAACCCCUAAGACGGGAUCCCGGCCCCGAAAUACAGUGGCGGUCUCGCCGCAGCCUCUCAUGCGCAGUAGUUUGCACAACUCGCACCGGGAGCGCGGCGCGUCCACGUCCGUAAAACACCCAACUUCUGAAAUGUUGACCUCGGAUCAGGUAGGAAUACCCGCUGAACUUAAGCAUAUCAAUAAGCGGAGGA
This 356-nucleotide unclassified non-coding RNA is filed under the name soil metagenome. RNAcentral describes it as "partial contains 5.8S ribosomal RNA, internal transcribed spacer 2, and large subunit ribosomal RNA". The stretch from base 1 to 120 matches the Rfam family "5.8S ribosomal RNA", at positions 35 to 154 of the family's 154-position model. The record is from RNAcentral.